Molecule: long non-coding RNA, 5370 nt
Filed under: Panax ginseng (ginseng)
Lineage: Eukaryota; Viridiplantae; Streptophyta; Magnoliopsida; Apiales; Araliaceae
Description: long non-coding RNA (PGIN_LNC018150)
Source: RNAcentral
CUGACUUGGCCCUUUUCAUCUCCACUUUUCUUAUGAUUGGGCAUGCCCACAACCUGGUUGUACCAUAUUCGUGUCCCUGACUAGUUUCCUCCGUGACCAAAUGUCCCAUAUUAAUGUCCAUGUUUCAUAGUUCAUAAAGUUGUGAUGGUACUAAUAUUGCAAUAGUAACUUUAUGCUUCCAAGAAAAGAUAUGAAUGCAAAAGGAGAGAGGGAGAGAGGGAUGAAAUCAUGAAAAUCUAGUAAAAAUAGAAUAAAUAUCCAUAAAGGUUGAUAGACUUCCCAAUGUUUUGGGGGAUAUGAUAGGAGAAAUACAAGGUUCCUUAUUUUGUUUUUAGUUUUCUACAGUUAUACUAUUGCUGGACUAAGCCAGUGCUAUAGGUGUAUCAUCUAUUAAGUUUUAACAGUAUGACUAAAUAGAUUCAGAGGAAGAGCAAUUUCUGGGUCCAUCAAGUCAAUUGAUGCCCUCUGGUCACUGCUUAUUUUCAAAGUGAGACGGGUAAAGUUCCCAAUUUAUUCUCAAGCAAUGAAGGGUUUUUAAUUUAUUAUUAAUUUCUAUAAUCUGCAAUAAUCAGAAAUUUACCUGCAAGACAAGGCUUCCAGAGUAGUCUGCAAUUCCACCCACUACAUCCAACCUUCCAGGUGCUCUUGCCACAAUGAUGUCUUCCUAAGUGAGUAAAUAUAUACUUGGAGUAAAUACACAAUGGAAGCAAUAAAGUAUAAAAACCAAAAAAUACAGUGAAAAUGGCUUGCACUUAAGUAUUAUACAUCAUCGGAUGCAUGCUAAAUUAGCUGGUAACAGCAACAUAAAGAGUAGUCAUUAUUAUCACUCCAUAUUUUAUCACAAGGCGAGAAGUACCAUUUAUCUGACAGAAUUUUAAGGAUGAAAAUCUUUGAUAUAAAUACAGAGUAAAAACUACUGUUGUCAUAGUGAUAAUAUUUGGAGUGCCAUUUGUAGAGUGCUAAAAUCAAAUCCAAUAGUAAGAAGAAAACUAUUUUUAAAAAAAUAAAAUGAAAGCUUAAACUUCAGACAUCACAUAGAGACGAACAGAGUGAUGAAAAAUCAAUUAAUAGUUCAGAAUUGAAUAAAAGACGUGUUAUUUAACAUCUUAGAUUAUGUAAUGUUGCUCUAAAUCAUUUAUGUGCUGAAGCCGUCUAGAAAUUGGAGGAAAAGGAGGAGACAUUAUUCAAUUAUGAAAAAUGAUUGGAAGACGAGUCAAACAUCUUAAAUGCAUUAAUCAAAGAUCAAUGUAUUCUAGCAUGUAGAACCAACAAGCACACACAAUUAUGUAUACUGUUUGUAGUUAUAACUAGACCAACUUUAAUUUUAUUAUUGGUUUCACUUUAAAGUAUACGGUAUAAAGGCAAAUAUGAAAUGGUUAUUGUGCUUUAGAUGCAUUCACUUUCUGGGGCACAAUGUAAAAGCAUAUGAUGCAGUUUUGCUGCACCCAUAGUUCAUUACGUAUAGUGAUCAGCCAAUACUGAAUUAGGAAAUGCAUUGACUUUUAAAUCAAGUUGUAUAAGACCUCCCAAUUGAAAAGACCAGCAGCUGCUACACGCUCUCGCAUGUGACGCUUUUCAGCAUUCUUUCCAGAGUAACAUAAAGCUUCUAGUUCUGCCAAGCUCUUUAAAAAAUUCAUUGUAUCUGAAAGACCCAAAAGAUCUCCGUGAAGAAUCUCAAAGUCCUCAGAGUAUCUAGAAGAAAAAAAAAAUGCAACGAUAUGAACAGAAGUAACUCAGGUAAGCAAUCUGUAUGUCUAAUAAGGACCUUCAUACACUGAGAAGAAAAAGCUCACGAGUUCAUGAAGGCGGUUGUCUCAUUUGUUUCAGCAUUUGGUGAUCCAGUACGGAGACCAAAUUCACUUUCAGCAUUCGUAUACCACUCUGGGAUGGAAAUAUCUCUUCCAGGGACUCUUUGUAAUUGAAACCCGAGAACGAUAGCAUCACGCAAUCUCCUGGCCCCACUAAACUAAAACUCCAGGCAAUAUAGAAAUCAUUUAGUGGAAAAGGUACCAUAUCAAAAAUCAGUUUCAAACUAGUUACACGAGUUUUCAUGUAUGUAUGUAUGUGUGUGUGUGUGUGUAUAUAUUAUUAGCACCCUAGCACCACUUUAUUAUAAGAGACUUUCCAAAUAUGAGUAUAGAGAAUGGGUGUGGAGUAAUAAUUCCAUAUUAAUCUGAAUCAAUCCAUACACAUAACAUUUUUAAUAAGGUUCUGGCUAGAAGCAUACAAGUACUGUAGCGUGCUUAUCCGUGGGUAUUUGGUAACCAUAUAUAAAUCAACAAGCUAUCCGGUAUUUUGAAAACAAACCCACAUUGGGUCACUGCAACAGCAACCCAGGUAACUCGAGAAACAAGCAGACUACUCAUUCUCCAUAUAUUUUCAUCUAGGGAAAGGUAAUUGCACAAGGUACUAAACUUAAAGCCAUUUUCAGCUUUCAUAUCAAUCAACCACCGUAUGAAAGUGAUAUAUAAGUUACGCUAUAUUUAUUGAAUAUAACAUGCAAAGAAAAUGAUUAUACCAAACAUAUAAUUCAUGUACCUUAUCUGAUGCAUAAUUCUUUCCAACAGCUGUAUCCUGCAAAAUACGGGCUGCAACCUGAAGAUUAUGACAGUGUGUUAGAGAACAUAUGAAAUUCUGGUAAAAACAUUAUUGAAAUGAAAGACAUUCCAACCGAGAAAAAGCAGAACUCCAAUACAUAGAUCAUGAAACAGAAAUCUGGCCUCCUACAAAUGCAAUAAUAAUUCUUUAAUCAUGAUCCGAACAGCUUAGAACAAUUUGCAAAACCAUAUCGUUUCAGAUACUUCUUAAUGGGGAAAAGAAAAACCAAAGUUUUUGUCUAAUGACCAAAAUUACCAACAAAUUUUCAUACAUUUAUAUGGUACAGCCGUCGAACUUUUUUUUUGGCAAUAUGAUUGAACUUAAGGAAAACCUUCAAUUUAGUCCGAAAAUUUAAUGUGGGUAACCAACUUAAGAGAGCUUAUUUGACAGCAAGGUCGAGAGGUUAAUUACUUGAUUGGUUCAAAGUAUUAUGGCAUAAAAAGUAUUCCCAAGCGUUACUUAUUUUAUGACUGGAGAGCAGAAAGAAAAUGGGAACCAAAGAUGACUCCAAGUGGUGAUGCUCUUGACUGGGAUUUGGAGUUAAACUACGCCACUGAGCACUUCAAAGGAAGGUCCUUUCUGGUUAAAAUCAGAGGAAUUGCUCUUGCUUCCACAAAGUACUGCUUGUGGCAGGAGCAAAAAGUGCCAAUAGAAAUUGAUAAUCUAAUGCAGACAAAAGUUUUUAGAUGAAAAUGGGGUAUUAGUUAUAACCAAGAGUGUUUAGAUGAUUACAGUUAUAAAAAAAUGGUUGUAGGUGUGGUUUUCCGUUUGUAGUUUACUUUUCUUGGAGGGUAAAACGUGAAGCCCUUAUGUAAAAAUAAUUUUUUUAAUAAAUAAAUUGACCUUUUCCCAAAAAAUAAAAAACUGCAGAGCUGAAUUUUUUGUUUCGACUCGGUAUUUUUUAAUUUUUUGGUUGCUAAUGUGGCCAUUUCAAAUGUGAGACUUGAGCAACCAAAUUACAAUUAAUACAAAAAGACAUGCGAAUUAAAUUCAGCAUUUAUCCUCUCCUUUCUCUCUCUCUUGGUACCCAUUUCUUCACGUAUGUUUUUUACCCAACACAGUAGUACCACCAUUUAAAUCACAACCACAAACACAGAUGCACAAACCACUGAGGAUACUAAGAGGAUUAUGGAUUAGUGUUAAUGAGUGUGACAUUCAAUGGUUUUUGUUGGGGAUGGGAUUAGUUGGAAAGGUGCCCUGUGACGACCCGAGAAUUCGGAUAACCUUGAAAUUAGGUUUUUCGAUGAGAAUAUCUAAUAAAUAAAAUUUUAUUGAUAUUAUUAUUAUGUGUUAUAUGAUUUAGGUCGAUUAAUGACCUAGUUUGCGUGUUAUGUGAUUAUGUACGAGUGUUGGGGGUUUUUGGGAGAAAAUAUUUUUUCCCGAGAAAAACGCAAAAAACACUAUUCAUAAAGCGCAGAAAAUGCUAAUAAACGUACUUUUUCGAGAAUUUUGAAUUACGUCAUAGCGUUUAUUUAAGGAGAGAUGAAAUUUGUAGUGAAAGUUUUUUCAGGAAAAAGCCGUAAAAGCACUAUUCACGAGAAAAACGCACAUUCAUUUUUUUGACUUUUCAAAGAAUGACAGUGUGUUUGUUCGGAAAAAGGGGGUCGGUGGCGAAAUCAAAUUUUCGAAAAUCAAAAGUCGAUUUUUCGACUAACCGAGCGUGUUACGAAUUCGUAACUAAAAAAGUUAAAAAAAACUAACUAAAAAGAAAUUGAGAAAAUAAAUUAAUUUUGGACUAACCAAGCAUAUGGUUUGGAAUGGCUUGGAAUAAGUUUGACUACGGUUGAGCUUAGGUUUUGGAGUGGCUUGGUUAGGGUUGAGCCUAUGGUUAAACCCUAGAUACUUGGAGCCAAAGAUUAAGAGCCAUGGCUUAUGUUUGGAGCCAAAGAAAUUGGAAGACUUGGAGCCAUAGUGUUGGAGGAAAUGUGUCACUUGUUAGUAAAUUAAAGAAAAUGAAAAGUGGAUGAGACUAGGAGGGGGGAGGAAUACUGAAAGAUAAGGUGAUGAAUCUUAAUGGUUAAGUCUUGUGGUGUGGAUAAGAUGAUGACUCAUUUGCUUAAUGGUUAAGUCUUAGUUUUAAAAAGACAAAACUACCCCAACUCUUGCAAGGGAUAUAAAGAGAAGCCCAUUUCCUUCACAAUCUUUACCAAUUCACCAAAUUCAAGAGGGAAAACUAUGGAGAGAGAGAGAGAGAGGGGCGGCUCCAAGGAGGAAGAAGAAGAGGAAGAUAAAGCUUUGAUCAUUCAUUAGCAAGUAAGAAGAAGAUCUUCAAGAGGUAAGCCAUAAACCUUAAACCAUGGUGGUUUUGAUUGGUGGUGUUGUUAUGGUUUGUGGUGGAUCAUGGUGGAUCUUGGAGUUAUAAGGUUGUUGUGGUAUAUAACCUUGUAAACUAUUGGUAAUACACAUGAAAAGUGGAACAAAAGAACUACAAAUGUAAGCCUAUGCGUAAAAGAUAGAAAAGCUAAAUAGUGGACGAAGGAAAGAUAGGUUUGUUCCAUGAGUUACGAAGGUAAUCCAAUUGGAACGAAAGGAAAAUUCGUUGUAACGAAGUUAUGGCGGAAUUUCUAGUAAAGUAGGUAAAAAGAUAAAGGAGAAAACAAUUUGUGUACUGACUUUUGAGUCAGUUUUCUGGGAAGUUAAAGCUUCUGGAAAUUGGUCAUUUUCUAGGGGUUUUGUAGUUUGUAGUAUAAGGAAGUCGUAGGCUCAAGAACGGACUCAUUCCAACUUGGAAUGAGCGAGUUAUGACGUUGCAAAGUGGGUACGACGAUAUCG